RNAcentral lists this transfer-messenger RNA (347 nucleotides) under Endomicrobiales. RNAcentral's name for it is "XYB2-FULL-50-12 sp001800355 Standard tmRNA". It matches the Rfam family "transfer-messenger RNA". Rfam says of the family: Bacterial tmRNA, also known as 10Sa RNA or SsrA, is named for its dual tRNA and mRNA-like properties. Lineage: Bacteria; Pseudomonadati; Elusimicrobiota; Endomicrobiia. The record is from RNAcentral. RNAcentral also lists the same sequence under 2 other names.
GGGGAUGAACCGGUCUCGACGGAAGUGAGUAGGUACAGGUGGCAGGACCGAGUCGGCCGAAGGCUCGGUAAAAAAUCGGCCAAAACUUAAAAGCCAACAAUAACUUGGCCCUGGCUGCUUAACGCAACCACGUUUACCUUCUGAUACCUAUUAGGAGGGCUAAACGCAAAGAGUAGGUUAGUCAUGACGGUGGCGUUUCGUGCCUGCAUGAUGAAACAACUACGAAACUGGCGCCGGGAUAGUCCUGCUGUGCGGCAGUCCCGGUGCGAGAACACGGCGCAGCUAAUCCUGUAGGAACCUGGCUAAUGCUCUUUCGGACGCGGGUUCGACUCCCGCCAUCUCCACCA